Molecule: ribosomal RNA, 465 nt
Filed under: Vreelandella stevensii
Lineage: Bacteria; Pseudomonadati; Pseudomonadota; Gammaproteobacteria; Oceanospirillales; Halomonadaceae
Description: partial 16S ribosomal RNA
Rfam family: Bacterial small subunit ribosomal RNA
Source: RNAcentral
CCUACGGGAGGCAGCAGUGGGGAAUAUUGGACAAUGGGCGAAAGCCUGAUCCAGCCAUGCCGCGUGUGUGAAGAAGGCCUUCGGGUUGUAAAGCACUUUCAGUGGGGAAGAAAGCCUUGGGGCUAAUACCCUCGAGGAAGGACAUCACCCACAGAAGAAGCACCGGCUAACUCCGUGCCAGCAGCCGCGGUAAUACGGAGGGUGCGAGCGUUAAUCGGAAUUACUGGGCGUAAAGCGCGCGUAGGCGGUCUGAUAAGCCGGUUGUGAAAGCCCCGGGCUCAACCUGGGAACGGCAUCCGGAACUGUCAGGCUAGAGUGCAGGAGAGAAAGGUAGAAUUCCCGGUGUAGCGGUGAAAUGCGUAGAGAUCGGGAGGAAUACCAGUGGCGAAGGCGGCCUUCUGGACUGACACUGACGCUGAGGUGCGAAAGCGUGGGUAGCAAACAGGAUUAGAUACCCUGGUAGUC